Molecule: long non-coding RNA, 9947 nt
Organism: Marmota monax (woodchuck)
Lineage: Eukaryota; Metazoa; Chordata; Mammalia; Rodentia; Sciuridae
Exons: 2
Source: RefSeq, a predicted model, not a curated record
UGGCCGUUCUGUUUCUGUGUGUCAUGGUCUCUGCUUCGUCCAUAAUCUUUGUUCAGAAUUUUUAAAGGUUGUCUUGGUGAAUCCUAAAUAGUAUGUAUUUAUGUAACAACUACAUUCAUCUUUGUAUGUUUACAUGCGCAGUAAUUACAUCCUUCAAAAUGAUCACAGUAUACAAAUACAGGCAACGAGAUAGAAUCUGGUUUGGAGAUGGUUUACAAUGGUUAUCUGCUACGCAGGUGUACGUGCUGUAAGCAUUUCAAGUCUUCUCUCAGUUGCUUUAUGGAUAAUAUUGAAAGUGAAUAUUUUUAAAGUGCUAUGAGAUGGAAGCAAGCCCACAGUUAUUCAGUAUAGUUUAAAUAUGUUGUGUAUAUUUUAUGCAAAUUCUACAAAAUUUUAUGUCUGAGAAUGAUAUUCUGGUGAUGCUUUCGAAGCCAAAAUGUUAACAUGUGCCAGUCAUGUGUACAAACUGGACUUAUUAGCCUGCAUUGUGAGGGCGAUUACUUAUGUAACAGAGCAGGAGCUUCAGGGGUAAGUUCUCCCCAGCUCCAAUCAGGAACAAGACAAGGGUACAUGUGGUCCUGACCUAGUGCAGCAGGGAACGAGGAUCGGGACACUGAGAUCUGGAAGGAAAGCUCUCUUAGCAGCGCCACUGACUAGAGGUGUAAUUCCCAGAGCCCGAGUCCCAGGCACAGCAGGUUUUUACUUUAAUACAUAAGGAAGUUUGGGGUCCAUCAAAGCAGGGAGUCUGCAGUUCUAUUGGAGAUGCAUUCUACAUUCCUUACAUGGGUACAAGUUUGCAGCAGCUGAGGGACUUUUCACUGCACCACGCCUAAAGGGGGCCCGUCUGUCCCUGCCACUUUGUCUCCUGUUUCUGCUCCUGUGGUUACCUGUCACAGUGCCCACGGCUGCUGCAGGCCUGGGGUGAAGUGUCGGAAGCAGAGCUGCUGUGUGGCAGCCUCCAGAGCUGUUAGCCUGGGGGUUGGCCUGCCAGCUCCUGUGCUCCUAAGCUUUCCCUUCUGAUCCCCACACUAACCGGGGGUGUGCUUUGGAGACCAGCAUUGCUACUGCCCCCCCACAGAUGAACCUUAGUCCAAAAAGCGUUGUUUUCAUUUAUUAGUUACUAACAUUUUUAAAUGGGGAGAUUUUUUGUUUUGUUUUGUUUGGUACUAGGAAUUGAACCCAGGGGUGCUUAACCACCGAGCCAAAUCCCCACCCCAUUUUUAUAUUUCACUAGAGACAGGGUCUCAUUGAAUUGCUAAGGCUGGCUUUGAUCUUGGGGUCCUCCUGCCUCAGCCUCCCAAGCUGCUGGGAUUACAGACGUGUGUCCCCAUACCCGGCUAAAAUAGGGAGCUUUGACCUACAAGUUUAUAUUUCUGGGUUGUUCAUUUUUAUUUGGGUUUUUUGUUGUUUUUCACUUUUUGCAUUUUAAGUAAACUUAAUGGUGGUAGUUGCUAAUUCUAUAAGAAUGUGGCUAAGCAAGUAUUCCAGUAAAAUUGGGAGCUGGAACUUCAGCUUAAACUUUCCUAAAUGAGGAGCGAGUUAUGAGCUGAUCCCAUGGGACUCAUGGCAGUUGGAUGACAGAGGGAAAGGGCCUCUCGCGUGUGCAGGAACUCCCUGGUGUUCAGGCACUCCUGGACCAGCACUCACAGAACAACUUUGAUAAGUCCUACCCCACCUUCUCUGUCCGAGUCCGACGCCAGAAUAAGAGCAUCCCAAGAAGGUGCCGGGUAGCCACAGCACUCUCCUGAGGGCUGACUGCUGGCCCUCUUCUGUCCUCUUGUCUGUGCCCCCUAGCACCAGCUUCUGCCAGCCAGUCUGGGCCUUCCAUAUAUUGAUUCCUAACUUAUUUUUUAUGUUGAGUGCAUUGCUUGAGGUAUCACAGAAGGACACAGCUCAUGUCUGGCAACUGUAAAGUGUUACUGCAUUCUGCGUACAGCAUUUCUGCUAAUAAAAUUCUUAUUAAGUAAAAUUAAUGUUUUAUGUUACCCAUGGAUCUAUGGUGUAUUGUUAACAGGUAGGUAAAAUUUUUUUACAUUUGAGGAAGUUUUUAGGGCAAAGUUUAUGUGACCUGAAAAUACUUUUUAUUUCCGUUGCUUUAAAAGCAGAAGAAGGUGGACACAGUGGCACACUGUAAACCCAGCAGCUCAGGAGGCUGAGGCAGGAAGAUCACAGUUUCAAAACCAUCCUCAGCAACUUAGCAAUGCCCUAAGAACUUAGUGUAACCUUGUCUCAAAAUAAAAAGGGUUGGGGAUGUUGGCCCAGUGGUUAAGAGCCCCUGGGCUCGCUCCCUGGUACCAAUACAGACAGACAGACAUGGGUAUGAACAACAGGUGCCUGAUACUUAGUACUUCCCCUGCAGCAGUUUUUAGAAACACACUGACUGUGCUACAGACUUUACCAGCAGGCUCAGCUUCCGGCCAGGUCUCCCUUAGAACAUGCUGGGCUGAUUGCUUGCAUGUUGACCAAGUUUGUUUUGUCCACCCUUCCCCUGUCCUUCCCUUCAGAGCCACACCUUCUGUUUCAGGGAACCUUUGUCGGCCUGACGUGGACUAAGCUCAGCUACUUCACAAGGCCUUGUACACAUGGUGAGACGUUUCCAUUCCCGCCGUGGUUGAUGGAGGGUCACAGACUGGGGUGUGGGCACAGUGCCUUCUGUCCAUUCACCCAUGGGGGUCAUUUGGAUUGUCUGGUUUUUGUCUUUUAUGGUUGAUGCUCUGAACAUUCGUGCACAGGUUCCACAGUAUUCUGCCUCGCCUCUCCCUGGGGACUGUUCGUGCUGAGCACCUUGUAGCGCACUCUGCGUGUCCCCUGCCACUCAGGCCUGCGACGUGUUCCUGUGGCUGGACCCCUUGGUGUGCUCCAGACACUGAGCUGCACACCCUUGCUUUCAGUUACAUGUGGUGCCCUUGACGGUCUUGUCUUUGGUUUGGUGCUUUUGUCUUGUCUGAGAAGCCUCUUAUAUGGGUACAUGUCAGGUACACGGGUACAUCUCCUGUGUGUUCUCCUAACAGCUUUGUCCUUUUGGCUCUUGCCUUUGGCUUUGGAGUUAGUUUUUAUAGACUGUUACUGUUGGGGCCCUGAAGUUCUUCACACCCUUGUUGAAAAUAAGUUGACCAUAAACAGGACUCUGACUUCCCCUCUGCUGAGCACUUCGUCUAACUUAUGCCAGUGCAAGAAUGUCUUGAUUGUGGUGGCUUUGUAGUGAGGUGUGCAUGUGUGUGAAUUAGUGGCAAAUGGUAGUAAAACCCCAGGCCUCAAGAGCAAGGGGGCAGUGGAAGGUCAUCAGUCGACUUGAAUACGCAGUAAUUCUUCUUUAUUUAUGUCUCUUUCAGAUGUAUUAUACUAUAGGUUGCUACCCAUUUGUUCAGAUUCCAGAUGUCACUACUUUUAUAAUAACACAGAUUUUAGGCAUUAUUCAGGUUUAGUAACUGGGCUCCAGCUGACCUCACUGUGACACUCCCAGAAACAAAAUCUCUCUCUAGGCUUACCCUUAGGGUAGUAACAAAUUUCGGCUGUUAAAGAAAAGAGGUUUAUUUAGCUCACACUUCAAGAGGCUCCAUGGUAUGAUGCUGGCAUUGGCUUGACUCUGGUAGAAGCUCACAGCAGAUGGCAUCACAGUGGCUGAGAGCACGUGUGGGAACAAGAGCUCACUUAGCACGACAGGCAGCCAGAAUGAUCAGGGGGCAGGUGCCGCAGGGGCAGUGUUACGCCCUCCUGCGGACGUCCCCAGUGUCACCAAAUGCCCAUCCGUCCCACCACCCAUCAGCACAAACUGAUGGGGGACACACCACACUCAAGCCACUCAGGCUCCCUCUGUAGCUGGAGCCGUGCACUGGCCUUGGGGUCUCUGCUGGGUACCGCUGGAAGCCGCCCUCUCUCAACAACACAGAGAUCUGUAAAUGCUGUCUGUAGUGUUUUCAGUGAAGAUGAGCCCAGAAGCCUCUAAAUCAUCAGCAGCGAAGAGAGGAAGAGGGAGUGAGAGUGGAGUGAGCCUCAGUUUUGCAGACUGACCUGACGUGCGCCUACCCCCCGCCGCCACCCCACCCCCGUGCCUAGUGGUUCUCCCCUGCCACAGGGACAGAAGAUAGGGUUAGGGUCACAGAGUUGUUCUUCCUAAAUAUAUAAGUCAUCCCAUUUUGAUUAGUGUAGAGACUGAUUGUUAUGUAAGUCUGAUGAGGAGAGGGACCUGGUUUUUCCCUCUCUGUUUAUUGAUAUGCUGCUCAUAAUUUGAGCUGUUGCAAAGGCGGCGCUCAUGGGACAGCAGUAUUGUAGAUUGGGGACAGGUGACAGAUUGCUCAUAACACCCUCUUGUGGAAUGUGUAUAACAUGCUUAAAGCAGGUUCCAGGGAGGAGAGUUUGUGAGCUAAACCUCACUCCCAGAAAUGAAGAUCACAUAAGUUACAUUUCAGUAACAUUGUUUAAAAUAAUGGAGUUUAGGCAAAACCAAUAACAAUCCUAUAGUUAUUUCUCUGAUCAAAGAUAUUGGAAGAAGGCACAAAGAUAUGGGAAGACCUCAUGUAUUCGUGAAUUCGGAGAAUUGAUAUUGUUAAAAUGUCCUUAGUACGCAAAGCAAUUUACAGACUCAAUGAAAUCCCCAUCAAAACACCAAGGACACACAGAAGACCCAGUCGCCAAAGCUAUCUUGAACAAAAAGAACAAAGCUGAGGCUCCACAAGACCUGAUUUCAAGACGUGGUUGAGUGCCACACUGACCAAAACAGCAUGGCACUGGCAGAAAAGCAGGCACACGGCACAGUGGGACAGACUGGGGACCCCAGAAUAACCCGCCAUCUACAGCCAAGUGAUUCCCAACACAGAUGUCAGAAACACUGGAGGAAGGACAGCGUCUUCAACAGAUGUGCUGGGAAAAGGCGACACCCACAUGCCGAAGAACGACCUUGUCCACGCUCUCUCACCCUGUAUGAAAAUCAGCGCAGAGUGGAUCAGGGGCUGCAGGUGGUGGUGCACGCCUGUGAUCCUAGAGAAGAGGCUGAGGCAUCUCGUGUUCAAGGCCCGUCUCAGCUACUUAGCAAGAUGCCGACUCAAAAUAAAAAAAUAAAAAGGGCUGGUGGGGAUGUAGCUCAGUGAUUAAGCACCCUUGGGUUCAAUCCCUGGUACCCCAUGCCCCCUCAAAAAAAGUGGAUCAAUGACCCAAAUUUAAGACCUGAAGCUAUAAAAUUUUCAGAAGGAAAUGAGAGAGAACACUUCAGGAUAUUGGCAUAGGCAGUGAUAUUUUUAUAGAAUCCCCAAAGCUCAGGUAACACAGUAAAAAUACAUAAAUAGGAUUCUGUUCAAUAAAAAAACUUGUGCACAGCAAAGGAGACAAUCCACAGAGUGAAGAGACAACCACUGAAUGGGAAAAUCACCUGCCGGCUAUUCACCUGAUGGGUUAGUAUCCAGAACACGUAAGCCUCUCAGAAAACAACUACCAUUACAAAAUCGAUUUUGGGGGGUGGCUACAGGGGAUUGAACUCAGGGGCACUCCACCACUGAGCCACAUCCUCAGCCGUGUUUUGUGUUUUAUUGACAGGUCUCACUGCGUUGCUUAGCGCCUGGUUUUUGCUAGGGCUGGCUUUGAACUUGGGAUCCUCCUGCCUCGGCCUCUCGAGCUGCUGGGAUUACAGGCAUGCCGCACUACUCCCGGCACAGAAUCAAUUUUGUUUUGUUUUUUGCCCUUCUCAAUGCUUUAUUCACUCAAAUCACUCAAUACAAUUUCACUCUGUAGGUUCUUAAUCAAGAAAACGACAAUUCUUAAUUCUAGGGCAAAUGAUCUGAAGAGACGCUUCUCAAGAAAAGACAUACAAAAAGCCAACAAUUAUCUGAAAAAAAUGCUCAGUAUCAUUAGCCAUCAGGGAAACACAGAUUAAAACCACAAGGAAAUGAUUUCACCUCAAUUAGGCUAUCUGUUAUCAAAAAGAAAAAAGUAACCUGGUGAAAACGUAAAGACACGGGCACUCGGGCUGGGGACACGGCCCAGCUGGUGAGCACCAGCCUCACGUGCACAGGCCUGGUUCAAUCCCUAGCACCUCAGAAAGUAAGUGGACGAAUGAGUCACAAAUGAGAAAAGGGAGCUCCCGCACCCUGUUGGUGGGAACGUAAACUGGACCUUUAUGGAGAACACGACGGAGGCUCCUCAAGAAACUGAAAACAGGUUCUGGUGUGUAUCCAAGACCACAGAACUGGCCCAGACGCCUGAAGGUCCACCGCAGCCAAGGCCUAGACUGGACCUGGGUGCCCACCGGCAGAGGAGGGACAAAGGAAAUGGAGCACAGGUACACUCGGGCGGAUCAUUCAGCUCUAAGAAGUAGGGCUGGCUGGGCACAGUGGCGCACAACUGUAAUCCCAGCAGCUUGGGAGGCUGAGGCAGGAGGACUGCGAGUUCAAAGCCAGCCUCAGCCCUUAGCAAUUCAGCAAACCCUGUCUCUAAAUAAAAUAUAAAAAAGGGCUGGGGAUGUGGCUCAGUGGGUUCAAUCCUCAAUACCAAAAAAAUAAAAUAAAAUAAAGAUUGUGUUCACCUAUAACUAAAAAAUAAAUUAUUAAAAAAAAAGGACUGAAGGACAGCCUGUCAAGUAAACAAGCCAGACAGACACCGGAGCCUGUCCUCUCCCAGGUGGAUGCUGGAAGAAGCCAGCCUGGGUGUCCAGCAGUGAGGACGAGAGGCUGUGAAGGGGUGGAGGGUGAUGAAGGGCAGCUAGCUGGGUGGUUCAGCGUGCACAUUGCACAUGGGUAUUAAAAUGUCUCACUGAACCCCGCUGAUGUGUGUGAUUGAUAAAAAGUGAAAGUAAUUCUUAAAAACAAUACUUAUUUGAGGAUGGCAAUUAAUUAUAGUUCCACAUAUUUAAGCUAUUUCUUACAUAGCUUUCUGAAUGGAAAUUCCUAAAGAGGUACUAUUUUCUCACACAAGUGUCAUCUGAUUGCAAACGGUUAACUUUGUAUCAACAUGCUAAGAUUGUCCAGGUCUAAGUAGACAGUGUAGCACUAAUAGUGUGGUACCUGGACACUAAAUCUUCAAGAGAGGAAAACUGCAUAUUGAUUGAUAUUGGUAUUUAUUGGGUCAUAAUGUAUUUAAAUUUUCUUUAAUGCAUAUGUUAGUGAUUGUUUACUGUGAUAAAGUGCAAAGAGGUCUUCAAGAGUGAUCUUGUGUGGGAAGAAUUGCCUUGUGUCACUGGUCACUUUUCAGUUAAAAGUUCCAUUAGCAGAUGGUUCUUGCUUCUGGGGUGGGUCACAACUGCACUCCAUCGCCUGUAAAUCAGCCUCCUGGUGGGGAAUAAAUAAACAGCUCAAGGAUGUGGUAAUGUUGUGUGAACUUCCCUACAGUAGAAGCACCGGGGUCCAUUUAAGCCAAUGAAGUUCAGAAUAUUUAUUGAAGACAAUUCUUUAUCAUAUUUGAAUUCUAUCUGAAAAUAGCUCUUUUUUUCUUGCUGAAGAAUAUUGAUUUAAUUGGAACAGAAUGUCUAUAAAUCAAUAAUAUCUUGGUCAUAUAUUUGAAAAUUUUAAUUAGAUCGUAUAACUUCAGCAUGGCUUAUAAUUGUGUAUUUCAGUGGAAUUCAGCACGCUUUUAAUGAAUCGUAGAUUGUUGUAUUGGCGAUUAACAGUUGAUGUUACCCUUACUGAGAGCUGGGAAGAUUUAUCUCGUGUGUGAUUAGAGCCCCUUAAUAAAAUGCCACUGUGCUUCCUGAGGCUUCACUCUGCAGGUCCAGGUGGCUUCUGGUACCCCAGUGUCCUUGAGCCCUGAGCUGCUCUUCCCAGCUGUCACCACCUGGGGCUUCUCCUCUGGCGGCUGGCAGGUCCUGUGGGCUUAGCAGCUGCCAGUUAGAGUGAAGGCGCCUGCUUUGUUGUCAGCACCCUUUGCAGGCAGCCUCCUGAGCCCCAGCUGCCCACAGUGUGUUUGCUCUUGAGUUAUGUUUCUGUUUCUGGAAGCAUAAAAGUCAAAGAGAAUGAUACUUCACAGAAUGAAGAAUAAACCUGUUCCUCCUGAGUGUCACACCUGCUUUUAUUUACAUUUUUAACCAUUCUGCUGUGGUGGGGAGGGAACUCUGGACCUCUCACAUGCUAGGCAAGCAGUCCCCAGCUGAGCCACCCCCCCAGCUUUGUAGCAGACUAAUAAUCCCAGUUUUCAUUGCCUCUGUUGUAAACAGAGUACUACUCACAGUUCUAAAGUCAAGAUCAUAGUUUCCUAUGAACAUUCAUUUCCUCCUUUUGCAUUUAACCUUGAAAUAAAAAUGACUCGGAUUACAUAGUAAAAAAGACAGGUGUGUACCGGAAUCCAGGGUUCCGAUCCCCUGCAGAGUACUCUCAUUGUAGUCUUAGCCAUUCACGUAUUCCCACAGUCCUCCUGCCCUUGCACGAGAUGGGUCUUGGUCACUCGUGGUGUGCCCUGCCCUUUGUUUUUUUAAGCACUGUUCAUCAAGGAUGCUUUUCUUUUUCUGAGCCGUGGUUGGCUGUCCCUGUGGGAAUGGGGGGUGAGGGGCGGACACCAGUGACGCUUGUCAAGACGACCUCCUUUGGAGGAGGCUCAGGGUGGUCAUGGCAGGUGAAGAACUGAACUGCAACAGCAGGUGACCAGGGUGGAACAGGGGUGGCAAGAACCGAGCAGCGAGGACAGGAUCACAAGAAUGUGUUGGAGAAAACAACUCGGCAUUAUCAGAAUAAAAAUGACUACACCUCUGGGGGUGCCAGCAGGCAGCUGAGAGGAGAAUGUCCGUAAGUCAGACGUGAGCGGAGGAACUGUCCUCUGGAACAUACCGAGGCUCCAGCCCAGAAAGACAGACAGCGAGUCGGAAACGGGCGGAAGAGCCAGAGGGUUGGCAUACCCCUUCACAGCCACCAUCAGGCCUCUGCCAGAACCGCUGGUGGGUGCUGCAGAAACCAGAGGAAGCCCAGCAGGCAGACAUGGCCCUGCUGGGGCGUGGCUGAGCAGAGUGGUACUGCCCACCCCUGGAGGACCGCUCCAAGCCAGCCGAGGAGGUUUCACCGUGUGGGCCGACUCCUGUGCUUCCAGCAGGGACAGGAAGCCGUGAGAGGCCAGCCUUGCACCGCCCACCCUCCCAGCAUUCCCUGUGGGUUUUCUGAAGGAAGAGGAGAGAUACCGCUGGCAUGGCUAUUAUCAGAACCAUGGUUGGCUCCUGGUCCUGGCAGCUGGGGUGAGACUACCGGAGUAGGCAGCCCCAACAGUCUAGACAGCAGGGCCAGCCAGGCUCAAUGCCUUUCUGGAAAACCAGAGUCUCAAAGAAGAUGCAGGCGCCUGCCUCCUGGGGCCUUGGGAGCCUCCCACAGGAGGGGGCCAUCCUGGGAAAGGCGGGGUUUCCACAUUUCCAAGGUAACCGAGUUGCUCCUGCCUCAUGCAGCAGAAGCCAGCUCUGGCCAUUUGCUGGGCUGUGAGUGAGCAGCCGUCCAUCUCUGCUGACUCGAGCAAACCUGAACUGUGCUCAGCAUUGGGUGUGGCAGGGUUCAGUGGGUGGGAGCCCAUCCAGCCUCAGGCAGCAUGGCGACCUCCAGGUGAUGGUCCUGCCCGUGAGAUGCCAGAACACCACAGGGAGCACAGGUGUGGGUGUGAGCCUGGGGGUAGCUGUGUGGACAAGUGUUACAGGACUUGACAGUGUAGACUGGUGCCUGGAAGAGGAUCGUGGUCGGCCAGGGCCUGAAGUGGGUCUUGCAGUGUACACAUUCCUGCAUAACCAGAAAGGUCAAGUGAGGAGAGGAGGACUCGCAGGCCAGUUCACGGGUGCACAGUCCCCGUGCAAGGUGGGCCCUGGUGUGCAGUGGGCACUCGAUGCACGUCUGUCAGUGCGUGGGUGCCGUGGUUGUGCUGGGCCCUGUGUUGGAGGCGCAGCAUGUUCCUGCCAGGGAGCAGCCAGUCCAGAGGCCACGUUUCCUGUUCCCAGUGGCUGGUUCCAAAGCACACACGGUUAGAUGGUGUAUCCUUACCUUAUGUUUCUUUUUUUUUUU